This 395-nucleotide long non-coding RNA is filed under the name Struthio camelus australis. RNAcentral describes it as "lncRNA (ENSSCUG00000003145.1)". Lineage: Eukaryota; Metazoa; Chordata; Aves; Struthioniformes; Struthionidae. The record is from RNAcentral.
AUUUAGGUGAAUGUAUGUUUUCUUUUUUUCAGGUAUAUAAAUAGUUAAUAAUUACCUCUUGGAGUCACCUUGACUGUCUCUUCAUCUUCCUUAAUAGCUGAAUUUAGACACCACUCCUUUGCUUUUGUCAAGAAUUCUAUGAAGUUUUACAAGACACAUCUAUGAUGCACAGUCUGGAGCAGUGAAGUAGAGGAAGACUACCUCCUUGUCUAGAGGUGGACUACUACCACUGCCACCUACCACUACAUUGCAAUGCGAGCUAUGAGCAGUUUCAGCCUGGUGCACUGAUCAUCUCCAAGACUUUCAUCCAUUAAGUGUUAAGGUAUGUUAUUUAUAUUUUCAGUAAUGAUAUAACUUGGUCUGAAUAUAUCUUGUCUACUGUUCAUAGUUAUAUU